Molecule: ribosomal RNA, 415 nt
Filed under: uncultured Treponema sp.
Lineage: Bacteria; Pseudomonadati; Spirochaetota; Spirochaetia; Treponematales; Treponemataceae
Description: bacterial SSU rRNA
Rfam family: Bacterial small subunit ribosomal RNA
Source: RNAcentral
CUAAGAAUAUUCCGCAAUGGACGAAAGUCUGACGGAGCGACGCCGCGUGGAUGACGAAGGCCGAAAGGUUGUAAAAUCCUUUUGCUGAUGAAGAAUAAGCGUGGUAGGGAAUGACCGCGUGAUGACAUUAGUCGGUGAAUAAGCCCCGGCUAACUACGUGCCAGCAGCCGCGGUAACACGUAGGGGGCAAGCGUUGUUCGGAAUUAUUGGGCGUAAAGGGCAUGUAGGCGGUUUGGUAAGCCUGAUGUGAAAUCCUGCAGCUUAACUGUAGAACUGCAUUGGGUACUGCCGAACUUGAAUCACUGAGGGGAAACUAGAAUUCCAGGUGUAGGGGUGGAAUCUGUAGAUAUCUGGAAGAAUACCGGUGGCGAAGGCGGGUUUCUAGCAGAUGAUUGACGCUGAGGUGCGAAAGUGC